This 482-nucleotide ribosomal RNA is filed under the name uncultured bacterium. RNAcentral describes it as "partial 16S ribosomal RNA". It matches the Rfam family "Bacterial small subunit ribosomal RNA", at positions 30 to 507 of the family's 1533-position model. The record is from RNAcentral.
AUUGAACGCUGGCGGCAUGCUUUACACAUGCAAGUCGAACGGUAACAGGCCGCAAGGUGCUGACGAGUGGCGAACGGGUGAGUAAUGCAUCGGAACGUGCCCAGUCGUGGGGGAUAACUACUCGAAAGAGUAGCUAAUACCGCAUACGAUCUAUGGAUGACAGCGGGGGACCGUAAGGCCUCGCGCGAUUGGAGCGGCCGAUGUCAGAUUAGGUAGUUGGUGGGGUAAAGGCUCACCAAGCCAACGAUCUGUAGCGGGUCUGAGAGGACGACCAGCCACACUGGGACUGAGACACGGCCCAGACUCCUACGGGAGGCAGCAGUGGGGAAUUUUGGACAAUGGGCGCAAGCCUGAUCCAGCAAUGCCGCGUGCAGGAAGAAGGCCUUCGGGUUGUAAACUGCUUUUGUACGGAACGAAACGGCUCUGGUUAAUACCCGGGGCUAAUGACGGUACCGUAAGAAUAAGCACCGGCUAACUACGUG